This 65-nucleotide transfer RNA is filed under the name Macrophthalmus japonicus. RNAcentral's name for it is "tRNA-Leu". Lineage: Eukaryota; Metazoa; Arthropoda; Malacostraca; Decapoda; Macrophthalmidae. The record is from RNAcentral.
UCUAAAAUGGCAGACAGAUGCAUAGGAUUUAAGCUCCUAUCAGGAAGAGCCCUCUUCUUUUAGAA